GAUGAACGCUGGCGGCGUGCCUAAUACAUGCAAGUCGAACGAGUGGCGGACGGGUGAGUAAUGUCUGGGAAACUGCCCGAUGGAGGGGGCUAACUACUGGAAACGGUAGCUAAUACCGCAUCCCAUCGGAUGUGCCCAGAUGGGAUUAGCUUGUGGGUGAGGUAACGUCUCACAUAGGCGACGAUCCCUAGCGGGUCUGAGAGGAUGACCAGCCACACUGGAACUGAGACACGGUCCAGACUCCUACGUGAGGCAGCAUUGGGGAAUAUUGCACAAUGGGCGCAAGCCUGAUGAAGCCAGGCCGCGUGUAUGAAGAAGGCCUUCGGGUUGUAAAGUACUUUCAGCGGGGAGGCGUUACCCGCAGAAGAAGCACCGGCUAACUCCGUGCCAGCAGCCGCGGUAAUAC
Molecule: ribosomal RNA, 406 nt
Filed under: uncultured bacterium
Lineage: Bacteria
Description: partial 16S ribosomal RNA
Rfam family: Bacterial small subunit ribosomal RNA
Source: RNAcentral